This is a regulatory RNA element of 98 nucleotides. It matches the Rfam family "S10-Clostridia ribosomal protein leader". The record is from Rfam.
AGAUAGCUUUGAUGUGAAAGGUUGCGACACACCCGGAUGCUUUGCCAUGGGUUUGGCGGUAAUUUUCACGGAGUUAGUCAUAUUUUUAAAAUAGACGA